This 310-nucleotide ribosomal RNA is filed under the name uncultured bacterium. Its description in RNAcentral is "bacterial SSU rRNA". It matches the Rfam family "Bacterial small subunit ribosomal RNA", at positions 28 to 334 of the family's 1533-position model. The record is from RNAcentral.
GACGAACGCUGGCGGCGUGCCUAACACAUGCAAGUCGAACGGAGUAAGGAGAGCUUGCUUUCCUUGCUUAGUGGCGAACGGGUGAGUAACGCGUGAGGAACCUGCCUUUCAGUGGGGGACAACAGUUGGAAACGACUGCUAAUACCGCAUAAUGUUAUCGGAUGGCAUCAUCUGGUAACCAAAGCUUUAUGUGCUGAAAGAUGGCCUCGCGUCUGAUUAGAUAGUUGGUGGGGUAACGGCCUACCAAGUCGACGAUCAGUAGCCGGUCUGAGAGGAUGAACGGCCACAUUGGGACUGAGAUACGGCCCAG